Molecule: ribosomal RNA, 492 nt
Filed under: uncultured bacterium
Lineage: Bacteria
Description: partial 16S ribosomal RNA
Rfam family: Bacterial small subunit ribosomal RNA
Source: RNAcentral
AGUGAACGCUGGCGGUAGGCCUAACACAUGCAAGUCGAACGGCAGCACAGUAAGAGCUUGCUCUUACGGGUGGCGAGUGGCGGACGGGUGAGGAAUACAUCGGAAUCUACUUUUUCGUGGGGGAUAACGUAGGGAAACUUACGCUCAUACAGCAUACGACCUACGGGGGAAAGCAGGGGAUCUUCGGACCUUGCGCGAUUGAAUGAGCGGAUGUCGGAUUAGCUAGUUGGCUGGGUAAAGGCCCACCAAGGCGACGAUCCGUAGCUGGUCUGAGAGGAUGAUCGGCGACAUUGGAACUGGGACACGGACCAGACGCCUACGGGAGGCAGCAGUGGGGAAUAUUGGACAAUGGGCGCAAGCCUGAUCCAGCCAUACCGCGUCUGUUACGAAGGCGUCCGGGUUGUAAAGACCGUCUGUUGGGAAAGAACAGCAGCAGGUUAAGACGCCGCUGUUCUGACGGUACCCAAAGAAUAAGCACCGGCUAACUUCGUG